Molecule: long non-coding RNA, 150 nt
Organism: Suncus etruscus (white-toothed pygmy shrew)
Lineage: Eukaryota; Metazoa; Chordata; Mammalia; Eulipotyphla; Soricidae
Exons: 3
Source: RefSeq, a predicted model, not a curated record
CUGUUAUAAGCCUCCAGCGGCCAGGUGCAUCAAUUUCAAAAGGUCCAUUUAAGCUAAGAAAAUAAUCAUGCCAUACUGGCGUCUAUGACACACAAUUCUCGUGCCCCGCUCUCGUCCCCAGAGAAUCCGCACAGCAUUCUUCUCUGGAAC